GUCUACGGCCAUACCACCCUGAACGCGCCCGAUCUCGUCUGAUCUCGGAAGCUAAGCAGGGUCGGGCCUGGUUAGUACUUGGAAGGGAGAAAUCACCAUAUCUGUGAAUU
This 110-nucleotide ribosomal RNA is filed under the name Cebus imitator (Panamanian white-faced capuchin). The record is from RNAcentral. Lineage: Eukaryota; Metazoa; Chordata; Mammalia; Primates; Cebidae.